RNAcentral lists this ribosomal RNA (459 nucleotides) under uncultured bacterium. Its description in RNAcentral is "partial 16S ribosomal RNA". It matches the Rfam family "Bacterial small subunit ribosomal RNA", at positions 338 to 795 of the family's 1533-position model. The record is from RNAcentral.
CCUACGGGAGGCAGCAGUGAGGAAUAUUGGUCAAUGGACGCAAGUCUGAACCAGCCAUGCCGCGUGCAGGAAGACGGCUCUAUGAGUUGUAAACUGCUUUUGUACGAGGGUAAACGCAGAUACGCGUAUCUGUCUGAAAGUAUCGUACGAAUAAGGUCGGCUAAAUCCGUGCCAGCAGCCGCGGUAAAACGGAGGAUUCAAACGUUAUCCGGAUUUAUUGGGGUUAAAGGGUGCGUAGGCGGUCUGAUAAGUUAGAGGUGAAAUCCCGAGGCUCAACUUCGGAAUUGCCUCUGAUACUGUUCGGCUAGAGAGUAGUUGCGGUAGGCGGAAUGUAUGGUGUAGCGGUGAAAUGCUUAGAGAUCAUACAGAACACCGAUUGCGAAGGCAGCUUACCAAGCUACUUCUGACGUUGAGGCACGAAAGCGUGGGGAGCAAACAGGAUUAGAUACCCCAGUAGUC